AUUGAACGCUGGCGGCAUGCCUUACACAUGCAAGUCGAACGGCAGCGCGGGGCAACCUGGCGGCGAGUGGCGAACGGGUGAGUAACAUAUCGGAACAUACCCUAGAGUGGGGAUAACGUAGCGAAAGUUACGCUAAUACCGCAUACGCACUAAGGUGGAAAGUGGGGGAUCUUCGGACCUCAUGCUCAUGGAGUGGCCGAUAUCUGAUUAGCUAGUUGGUGAGGUAAAGGCUCACCAAGGCGACGAUCAGUAGCUGGUUUGAGAGAACGACCAGCCANACUGGAACUGAGACACGGUCCAGACUCCUACGGGAGGCAGCAGUGGGGAAUUUUGGACAAUGGGCGCAAGCCUGAUCCAGCAAUGCCGCGUGCAGGAUGAAGGCCU
This 384-nucleotide ribosomal RNA is filed under the name uncultured bacterium. RNAcentral describes it as "bacterial SSU rRNA". It matches the Rfam family "Bacterial small subunit ribosomal RNA", at positions 30 to 417 of the family's 1533-position model. The record is from RNAcentral.